Hypanus sabinus (Atlantic stingray) is the source of this 121-nucleotide small nuclear RNA. The record is from RefSeq and is a predicted model, not a curated record. Lineage: Eukaryota; Metazoa; Chordata; Chondrichthyes; Myliobatiformes; Dasyatidae.
UUUUUGUAUGAGAGAUUAGCACGCCCUUUGUGAAGGAUGGAAGGGGUCCUAGUAGCCUUACAACAAACAAAUGGUUAGGCACUGCCAUCUACUUGGCAUUGGCAUCUAACCAUGAUCCUGU